CCUACGGGAGGCAGCAGUGAGGAAUAUUGGUCAAUGGGCGCGAGCCUGAACCAGCCAAGUAGCGUGCAGGAUGACUGCCCUAUGGGUUGUAAACUUCUUUUAUACAAGAGUAAACUGAGACACGCGUGACUUUCUGAAUGUACUUUAUGAAUAAGGAUCGGCUAACUCCGUGCCAGCAGCCGCGGUAAUACGGAGGAUUCAAGCGUUAUCCGGAUUUAUUGGGUUUAAAGGGUGCGUAGGUGGGUUGGUAAGUCAGAGGUGAAAGCUUGAGGCUCAACCGUAAAAUUGCAACUGAUACUGGCAGGCGUGAGUGCAGUUGAGGUAGGCGGAAUGCGUGGUGUAGCGGUGAAAUGCUUAGAUAUCACGAAGAACACCGAUUGCGAAGGCAGCUUACUAAGCUGCCACUGACAUUGAGGCUCGAAAGUGUGGGUAUCAAACAGGAUUAGAUACCCCAGUAGUC
This 460-nucleotide ribosomal RNA is filed under the name uncultured bacterium. Its description in RNAcentral is "partial 16S ribosomal RNA". It matches the Rfam family "Bacterial small subunit ribosomal RNA", at positions 338 to 795 of the family's 1533-position model. The record is from RNAcentral.